ACACGACUUGGACUGUUUUUCGACCACAAACAUUUGCCCAGUCUUUUUGGGCCUUUCUGCCUUCUCCUGCCUACCUACCCAUGGGUGACCCUUGCUUGUCUCAUGGACCAGCUUUCUGCCUCCAGAUGAUUCAGCUUGUCAUUUGCUGCUGUUCUCUGUCUGGUGCAUUACAAGCAGAGGAAAUAUGAAACGGCACCACAAUGGUCCCUCUGAUAAUUAAGGCAGCUGAGAGCUUCACUAACUCAAUACAGAUCCAAAAGGAAAUGUCAUAGUUUCUGGUCCUCAGUCCGUCCUCUGGUUCCAACUCCUCUUCCUCCUCAUCUCUCAAGGUGCAUUCAAACCGAACGCGAACAAGACAAUUGGA
Molecule: RNA transcript, 364 nt
Organism: Fundulus heteroclitus (mummichog)
Lineage: Eukaryota; Metazoa; Chordata; Actinopteri; Cyprinodontiformes; Fundulidae
Exons: 3
Source: RefSeq, a predicted model, not a curated record